RNAcentral lists this long non-coding RNA (874 nucleotides) under Ananas comosus (pineapple). RNAcentral describes it as "long non-coding RNA (ACOM_LNC009715)". Lineage: Eukaryota; Viridiplantae; Streptophyta; Magnoliopsida; Poales; Bromeliaceae. The record is from RNAcentral.
UAGUUUUUCAAAAAAGUAUUAAAAAAAAAAAGAGAAACUUUAAAUAAUACCAUUGUGGUUUCGCACUUUCUCACUUUAAUACCAUAUAGUUUAAAGUUUAAAGUGUAUUAAUUUAGUAUCAUGUGGUUUUAUUUUUAUCUUUUUAUUAUCGAUUUCUUUAAUUUUUUUCGUUAAAUCAGUGACAAAGUUAAAACUAAAGGGAACUAAAGUGAAUAUUCGAUAAAUCUAUGUGGGGUAUCUGAAGUUUUUUUGUAUAUAAUUUAAUAAAAUAUUAACGAAAAAACUGACGAAAAUAUAAAAAUAAAACCACAGGGUACUAAAUUGAUACACUUUAAAUCACAUGGUACUAAAGUGAAAAAAUGCGAAACCAUAUGGGUGAUAUUUGAAGUUUACCCAAAAAAAGGGAUAAACUUUAAAAACUACCCCCGUGGUUUCGCACUUUCUCACUUUAAUACCCUGUGGUUUAAAGUGUAUCAAGUUCAUGUCCUGUGGUUUCAUUUUAAUCUUUUCGUCAGCUUUUUCGUUAAUAUUUUGUUAAAUUAUAUAAAAAAAAAAUUUCAGAUACCCCACCUAGAUUUAUCGAAUAUUCACUUUAGUGCCCUUUAGUUUUAACUUUGCCACUGAUUUAACAAAAAAAAAUUAGUAAAAUCGAUAAUAAAAAGAUAAAAAUGGAACCACACGACAGUAAAUUGAUACACUUUAAACCACAUAGCACUAAAUGAGAAAGUGUGAAACCACAGGGGUGGUAUUUGAAAUUUUUCCUAAAAUAUAUAUAGUAAUAAAUUAUUAUAAAAAUAAAAAAAUAUAUAUAAAUAAAUAUAUUUACUAUUUUUUUUUAAAUGAUAUCUCUACAUUCCAUAUAACUAGACCAUAA